This 253-nucleotide ribosomal RNA is filed under the name uncultured bacterium. RNAcentral describes it as "partial 16S ribosomal RNA". It matches the Rfam family "Bacterial small subunit ribosomal RNA", at positions 524 to 776 of the family's 1533-position model. The record is from RNAcentral.
UACAGAGGUCUCAAGCGUUGUUCGUAUUCAUUGGGCGUAAAGGGUGUGUAGGUGGCGCCGUAAGUCGGGUGUGAAAUUUCGGAGCUUAACUCCGAAACUGCAUUCGAUACUGCGGUGCUUGAGGACUGGAGAGGAGACUGGAAUUCAUGGUGUAGCAGUGAAACGCGUAGAGAUCAUGAGGAAGACCAGUGGCGAAGGCGGGUCUCUGGACAGUUCCUGACACUGAGACACGAAGGCCAGGGGAGCAAACGGG